Molecule: non-coding RNA, 24 nt
Filed under: Arabidopsis thaliana (thale cress)
Lineage: Eukaryota; Viridiplantae; Streptophyta; Magnoliopsida; Brassicales; Brassicaceae
Source: RNAcentral
ACGUCAUGAUCCUGCGACCGAAUA